GUCCCAGGAAGGCCAGGGGGAGCAGAUUUCUUCAGCUGGCCAGCAUCUUACUGUUAAUUGCCCAAGCCAGAGAGCCCAAGAGGCAGGACAGAGGCCACCUGGCCUGCAAUGGGCUCUGCUGGACUAGAGCAGUGGCUCUGUGGAGACACAGAACUGAGCCUCACACUGCUUCCGGAGGAAUACUAGUGAGUGAGUCUCCAGGGGUACGGGUGAGAUGCAGCACCCACAUUUGAAAAUUGCACCCAAAGACUGUGCGCCCUACCAAGGUUGCAAGCCUUGUCUCUACAGCCUGCAGGUUUAACCACUGCCCCACACUGCACUGCUCUGGAUCCUCUCCAGGGCAGACCCCCUGUCAAGAUGAGCACCGGGAACAUCAC
RNAcentral lists this long non-coding RNA (377 nucleotides) under Fukomys damarensis (Damara mole-rat). RNAcentral describes it as "lncRNA (ENSFDAG00000032371.1)". The record is from RNAcentral. Lineage: Eukaryota; Metazoa; Chordata; Mammalia; Rodentia; Bathyergidae.